GAUGAACGCUGGCGGCGUGCCUAAUACAUGCAAGUCGAGCGAACAGACGAGGAGCUUGCUCCUCUGACGUUAGCGGCGGACGGGUGAGUAACACGUGGAUAACCUACCUAUAAGACUGGGAUAACUUCGGGAAACCGGAGCUAAUACCGGAUAAUAUAUUGAACCGCAUGGUUCAAUAGUGAAAGACGGUUUUGCUGUCACUUAUAGAUGGAUCCGCGCCGCAUUAGCUAGUUGGUAAGGUAACGGCUUACCAAGGCAACGAUGCGUAGCCGACCUGAGAGGGUGAUCGGCCACACUGGAGCUGAGACACGGUCCAGAGUCCUGCGGGAGGCAGCAGUCGGGAAUCUUCCGCAAUGGGCGAAAGCCUGACGGAGCAACGCCGAGUGAAUGAUGAAGGUCUUGGGAUCGUAAUACUCUGUUAUUAGGGAAGGACAAAUUUGUAAGUAACUAUGGACGUCUUGACGGUACCUAAUCAGAAAGCCACGGCUAACUACGUG
This 497-nucleotide ribosomal RNA is filed under the name uncultured bacterium. RNAcentral's name for it is "partial 16S ribosomal RNA". It matches the Rfam family "Bacterial small subunit ribosomal RNA", at positions 28 to 507 of the family's 1533-position model. The record is from RNAcentral.